This 433-nucleotide ribosomal RNA is filed under the name uncultured bacterium. Its description in RNAcentral is "bacterial SSU rRNA". It matches the Rfam family "Bacterial small subunit ribosomal RNA", at positions 355 to 786 of the family's 1533-position model. The record is from RNAcentral.
UGAGGAAUAUUGGUCAAUGGGCGAGAGCCUGAACCAGCCAAGUCGCGUGAGGGAAGACGGUCCUACGGAUUGUAAACCUCUUUUGUCGGGGAGCAAUAAAGCGUACGCGUACGCAGAUGCGAGUACCCGAAGAAAAGCAUCGGCUAACUCCGUGCCAGCAGCCGCGGUAAUACGGAGGAUGCGAGCGUUAUCCGGAUUUAUUGGGUUUAAAGGGUGCGCAGGCGGAAAGUGCAAGUCAGCGGUCAAACGACGGGGCUCAACCCCGUCUCGCCGUUGAAACUGUCUUUCUAGAGUGAGCGAGAAGUAUGCGGAAUGCGUGGUGUAGCGGUGAAAUGCAUAGAUAUCACGCAGAACUCCGAUUGCGAAGGCAGCAUACCGGCGCUCAACUGACGCUCAUGCGCGAAAGCGUGGGUAUCGAACAGGAUUAGAUACC